RNAcentral lists this ribosomal RNA (2787 nucleotides) under sediment metagenome. RNAcentral describes it as "bacterial LSU rRNA". It matches the Rfam family "Bacterial large subunit ribosomal RNA". The record is from RNAcentral.
CUAAGAAGAAACAGGCGCGCGGAGGAUGCCUAGGCGUUCAGUGCCGACGAAGGACGAGGUACACCACGAAAGGCUCCGGUGAGGCGUGUGCAGCCGCAAGCAGCCGGAGAUGUCCGAAUGGGGAAACCCGGUCGCAAGACCACGCGAGAGCGAGGCAAGUGGGUGAACUGAAACAUCUCAGUAGCCCGAGGAAAAGAGAGGAUUCCGCUAGUAGUGGCGAGCGAACGCGGAGCAGCCCAAACCGAAGGACACGUCUUUCGGGGUUGUAGGACUUCCAGCAGCAUCGUGAAACGAAGCCGAAGUGCCUGGGAAGGCGCACGAGACAGGGUGAGAGUCCCGUAGGCGUGGCGAAGCGAUGUGGGGAGGAUCCUGAGUAGCCCAGGGCACGCUAACCCGGGGUGAAGCAGGGGGGACCACCCUCCAAGGCUAAAUACACUGGACGACCGAUAGCGCAAGAGUACCGUGAGGGAAAGGUGAAAAGAACCCCGGCGAGGGGAGUGAAAGAGAUUCUGAAACCGCGUGCUGACAACCGGUCAGAGCCUCCUAGUGAGGUGAUGGCGUGCCUUUUGGAGCAUGAGCCUGCGAGUGUAUGGAUGUGGCGAGCUUAAGGGAGAGACACCCGGAGGCGAAGCGAAAGCGAGUCUGAACAGGGCGAGAGUGGCAUCUAUACGACACGAAACCAGACGAGCUAACCAUGAGCAGGGUGAAAGUCCGGUGACACGGACGGGAGGCCCGAACUCACGUGGAUUGCAAACCAUGGGGAUGACUUGUGGUUAGGGGUGAAAUGCCAAACGAGUUUGGAGAUAGCUUGUUCUCCUCGAAAUCGCUUUAGGGCGAGCGUCGUAGAGAAGUGACGGAGGUAGAGCACUGUUUGGGCUAGGGGGCGUCAAGCUUACCGAACCCAGACAAACUGCGAAUGCCGUCAUGGGGACUGCGGCAGUCGGACGGCGGGGGAUGAGCUUCGUCGUCGAGAGGGAAAGAACCCAGACCCCCGGCUAAGGUCCUGAAGUGGGUGCUUAGUGGGAAACGAUGUGGUCUUGUGAAGACAGCCAGGAGGUUGGCUUAGAAGCAGCCACCCUUGAAAGAGUGCGUAACAGCUCACUGGUCGAACGGGACUGCGCGGACGAUGUAACGGGGCUGAAGCACCCCACCGAAGCCAGGGAUUAGAUGGUAGAGGAGCGUCGCACGUGCGGCGAAGGCAGUCUGGCAAGGACUGUUGGAGCGCGUGGGAGUGAGAAUGCAGGCAUGAGUAGCGAAAGAUGAGUGAGAACCUCAUCCGCCGAACGUCUAAGGGUUCCGACGGAAGGUCAGUCCGCGUCGGGUGAGUCGGGCCUAAGCCGAAGCUGAAAAGCGCAGGCGAUGGACAACAGGUGAAGAUUCCUGUACCGACAGAUGGAGGGAAGCACGACCGCCUGGGGAGGGUGAGCCUGCGAGUGGAAGCAGGUGGCAAGGUGGGAAAGCCACUGACGCCGAGGCGCAAGCCGAGAAGUCACGGGUACCGAGGUGCAAGAAAAGCGUGUGGAACGAUGAAGUCUGUUGACCGUACCCCAAACCGACACCGGUAGACGAGUAGAGGAUACUAAGGCGCACGGGAGAACCUUCGUUAAGGAACUCGGCAAAAAGGCCCCGUAACUUCGGGAGAAGGGGCACCCCUGAGAGGGGGUGGCAGCAAAGAGGCUCUACCGACUGUUUACCAAAAACACAGGUCUGUGCGAACGCGCAAGCGGACGUAUACGGGCUGACGCCUGCCCAGUGCCGGAAGGUUAAGGGGAGCGGUUAACGCUGCGAACUGAAGCCCCGGUGAACGGCGGCCGUAACUAUAACGGUCCUAAGGUAGCGAAAUUCCUUGUCGGGUAAGUUCCGACCCGCACGAAAGGCGUAACGAGUGGAGCACUGUCUCAACGGGGGACCCGGCGAAAUUGAAGUAUGUGUGAAGAUGCGCAUUACCCGCAGUUGGACAAAAAGACCCUGUGGAGCUUUACUGUAGCCUGUCAUUGCGUUAGGGCGAUGUUUGUGUAGGAUAGCUGGGAGGCAGGGAAGCGGGGACGCCAGUUUCCGUGGAGCCGCCGGUGAAAUACCAGCCUGACGUUGCUUUGACCCUAACCUGAAAGGGGACCGUGGCAGGUGGGCAGUUUGACUGGGGCGGUCGCCUCCUAAAAGGUAUCGGAGGCGUUCAAAGGUGGGCUCAGGCUGAAUGGAAACCAGCCGCAGAGUGCAAAGGCAGAAGCCCGCUUGACUGCGAGGGGGACGACCCGAGCAGAGACGAAAGUCGGACUUAGUGAUCCUACGGUUCGGUGUGGAACGACCGUAGCUUACCGGAUAAAAGCUACCCCGGGGAUAACAGGCUGAUCUUGCCCAAGAGUUCAUAUCGACGGCAAGGUUUGGCACCUCGAUGUCGGCUCAUCACAUCCUGGGGCUGGACAAGGUCCCAAGGGUUGGGCUGUUCGCCCAUUAAAGUGGUACGUGAGCUGGGUUCAGACCGUCGUGAGACAGGUCGGUCUCUAUCCGCUGUGGGCGAAGGGGGUUUGAGGGGAGCUGGCUCUAGUACGAGAGGACCGAGCUGGACGGAGCGCUCGUGUGCCGGUUGUGCCGCCAGGUGCAGUGCCGGGUAGCGAUCUCUGGAGCGGAGAACCGCUGAAAGCAUCUAAGUGGGAAACCGACCCCAAGAUGAGACCCGCGUCUCGAAAGAGAGUAAGACCGCUCGAAGACGACGAGUUAGAUAGGCGGGACGUGGAAGGGCAGCAAUGCUUGGAGCGCACCCGUACUAAUGGUCGAGAGCUUAGGCAC